GACGAACCGUGCGAACGUUAUUCGGAAUCACUGGGCUUAAAGCGCGUGUAGGCGGAUGGGAACGUCGGUCGUUGAAAUCCCCCGGCUUAACCGGGGAAGUGGCGCCGAUACGCCCCGUCUUGAGGAACGUAGGGGGAGCGGGAACUUCCGGUGGAGCAGUGAAAUGCGUUGAGAUCGGAAGGAACGCCCGUGGCGAAAGCGCGCUCCUGGACGUUUUCUGACGCUGAGACGCGAAAGCGUGGGGAGCGAACAGG
This 254-nucleotide ribosomal RNA is filed under the name uncultured bacterium. RNAcentral's name for it is "partial 16S ribosomal RNA". It matches the Rfam family "Bacterial small subunit ribosomal RNA", at positions 524 to 776 of the family's 1533-position model. The record is from RNAcentral.